GACGAACGCUGGCGGCGUGCUUAACACAUGCAAGUCGAACGGAAAGGCCCUGCUUUUGUGGGGUGCUCGAGUGGCGAACGGGUGAGUAACACGUGAGUAACCUGCCCUUGACUUUGGGAUAACUUCAGGAAACUGGGGCUAAUACCGGAUAGGAGCUCCUGCUGCAUGGUGGGGGUUGGAAAGUUUCGGCGGUUGGGGAUGGACUCGCGGCUUAUCAGCUUGUUGGUGGGGUAGUGGCUUACCAAGGCUUUGACGGGUAGCCGGCCUGAGAGGGUGACCGGCCACAUUGGGACUGAGAUACGGCCCAGACUCCUACGGGAGGCAGCAGUGGGGAAUAUUGCACAAUGGGCGGAAGCCUGAUGCAGCAACGCCGCGUGGGGGAUGACGGCCUUCGGGUUGUAAACCGCUUUCGCCGGUGACGAAGCGUGAGUGACGGUAAUGGGUAAAGAAGCACCGGCUAACUACGUG
Molecule: ribosomal RNA, 468 nt
Filed under: uncultured bacterium
Lineage: Bacteria
Description: partial 16S ribosomal RNA
Rfam family: Bacterial small subunit ribosomal RNA
Source: RNAcentral